RNAcentral lists this long non-coding RNA (1228 nucleotides) under Daphnia pulicaria. RNAcentral's name for it is "uncharacterized LOC124341526, transcript variant X2". The record is from RNAcentral. Lineage: Eukaryota; Metazoa; Arthropoda; Branchiopoda; Diplostraca; Daphniidae.
GCAAGUGUAAAAAAAAUUGGAAACAGUGACCGCGAGUAAUUUUUUUAAAUUUACGUUUGCGGAGUUUAACAGGGGUUCCUGAAUUCACAAGGUUAAGUGAAAAAAUGCACAUAAUUUGUUUGAAAACACUAUUUUACUAGAUUCUUGUCAAAACAUUUUUCUAUUGACAAGAGGACAGGUAACAAGAUUUAGAAUGGAACGUGAUCGAAACGUGAUUUUGAAUUGUCUGGAUUAAAUGCGGAUCAAUUAUUAUUUGUGGCCUUAUCAAAGAGAGUGUCAGUGGUAGACAACCGACUCUUUUAGUUUCCUGUUUAAGAAACUUUAAAUAGAGAUUUCAUUUUUUUAAGAUCUGGUAUUAUAACACGUUUUGAACACGGAGUGAACCAUGUCGUGCAAUAAUCAUAGAAAUUUACUGGGCUUUUAAAUAUAAUUUAUUAUUACUCUUUUUGUUCAAGAGCACUUUGGUUGAACCAAAAGAAGAAAUGUAAAUGUUCUUCUCUGCUCUCAUCGGCUUUCACUAUCUUAAUGCAUGUUGAUUAAUUAACCUUUUUUUUGUUAUUUUUCACCUUCAUCAUCCAAAAAACUGCGACGCUUACGCUUAUUUUACGUAAAGGUACAUUACAACUACAACGUGAGCAUAUUGUUGUAAUGUUGUUACACAUGCGUUAUUUAGUUUGUCGUGUCCACCAACUCCUGAUCUUUAAACUGGGAUGUGCACAGGAUGUGCACUUGUAAACUUGUAAUGUUGUUACAUUCGUUAUUCAAUGUCUCGUUUCCGUCAACUGCUGAUUUUGAAACUUGGAGGUUCACCUACCCUAUAUUUUAUAAUAGUCGUACUGACAAAACCUAGACGACCAGUUGGUAGGUAGGACGUUGACGUCACGACACCCAGGUCGACCACGGUACCACGCAAGGUGAAGAAAACCUGAUAUGGUUGCAGAGGAAUAUUUUUAAAAAAAGUCCCUCGAGCGGUUCUAAAUGUAAGAUUCAUUUAUUCACCGAAGAAACGAGUCAAAUGAUAGAAGAAGAAAAUGUCAAUUGACCCAUGCCCAGUAACGUCAACCUGCAGAAGAAAACGCCAGUUUGCAUUUAACAAUCGAAGGCCACGGAGAUUAUUACACAAAACGUGCCAUGCAGUGGUGUGGAGGUUGGGUGAGAACGAGACGUGUUAGAAAACCAUUUGGUAUUCAUUUUGAAUUUUGAUAUUGGUUUUUGUAGACCCAUCCCC